Molecule: ribosomal RNA, 247 nt
Filed under: uncultured Hyphomicrobiales bacterium
Lineage: Bacteria; Pseudomonadati; Pseudomonadota; Alphaproteobacteria; Hyphomicrobiales
Description: uncultured Rhizobiales bacterium partial 16S ribosomal RNA
Rfam family: Bacterial small subunit ribosomal RNA
Source: RNAcentral
AGUGGCAGAAUCGUGAGUAAGAGAAGAGAACGUGCCUUUCGGUUCGGAACAACCCAGGGAAACUUGGGUUACUACCGGAUACGCCCAUACGGGGAAAGAUUUAUCGCCGAAAGAUCGGCCCGCGUCUGAUUAGCUAGUUGGUGGGGUAACGGCCCACCAAGGCGACGAUCAGUAGCUGGUCUGAGAGGAUGAUCAGCCUCACUGGGACUGAGACACGGCCCAGACUCCUACGGGAGGCAGCAGUGGG